CCUACGGGAGGCAGCAGUGAGGAAUAUUGGUCAAUGGGCUUACGCCUGAACCAGCCAAGUCGCGUGAGGGAAGACUGCCCUAUGGGUUGUAAACCUCUUUUGUCAGGGAGCAACGCCGGCUACGUGUAGCCGGACUGAGAGUACCUGAAGAAAAAGCAUCGGCUAACUCCGUGCCAGCAGCCGCGGUAAUACGGAGGAUGCGAGCGUUAUCCGGAUUUAUUGGGUUUAUAGGGUGCGUAGGCGGUCCGGAAAGUCAGCGGUAAAAUCCCGGGGCUCAACCCCGGCGAGCCGUCGAAACUGGGGGGCUUGAGUGCGGCGGAGGCAUGCGGAAUGCGCGGUGUAGCGGUGAAAUGCAUAGAUAGCGCGCAGAACCCCGAUUGCGAAGGCAGCGUGCCGUGCCGCCACUGACGCUGAGGCACGAAAGCGCGGGGAUCGAACAGGAUUAGAGACCCCUGUAGUC
This 460-nucleotide ribosomal RNA is filed under the name uncultured bacterium. RNAcentral describes it as "partial 16S ribosomal RNA". It matches the Rfam family "Bacterial small subunit ribosomal RNA", at positions 338 to 795 of the family's 1533-position model. The record is from RNAcentral.